Molecule: non-coding RNA, 69 nt
Organism: Triticum aestivum (bread wheat)
Lineage: Eukaryota; Viridiplantae; Streptophyta; Magnoliopsida; Poales; Poaceae
Source: Rfam
UCCACUACUCAGUUGGUAGAGUACAAAGAUCUUAACCUUAUGGAUGUGGGUUCAAGACCCAUGGUGGAG